This 301-nucleotide ribosomal RNA is filed under the name uncultured bacterium. RNAcentral's name for it is "partial 16S ribosomal RNA". It matches the Rfam family "Bacterial small subunit ribosomal RNA", at positions 509 to 807 of the family's 1533-position model. The record is from RNAcentral.
CAGUCGCCGCGGUAAUACGAAGGGUGCAAGCGUUAAUCGGAAUUACUGGGCGUAAAGCGUGCGUAGGCGGUGAGUUAAGUCUGCUGUGAAAUCCCCGGGCUCAACCUGGGAAUGGCAGUGGAUACUGGCUCGCUAGAGUGUGUCAGAGGAUGGUGGAAUUCCCGGUGUAGCGGUGAGAUGCGUAGAGAUCGGGAGGAACAUCAGUGGCGAAGGCGGCCAUCUGGGACAACACUGACGCUGAGGCACGAAAGCGUGGGGAGCAAACAGGAUUAGAUACCCCAGUAGUCCCUGUCUCUUAUAC